CAGCAGCCACGGGAAUACGUAGGUGGCAAGCGUUGUCCGGAAUUAUUGGGCGUAAAGCGCGCGCAGGUGGUUUAAUAAGUCUGAUGUGAAAGCCCACGGCUCAACCGUGGAGGGUCAUUGGAAACUGUUAAACUUGAGUGCAGGAGAGAAAAGUGGAAUUCCUAGUGUAGCGGUGAAACGCGUAGAGAUUAGGAGGAACACCAGUGGCGAAGGCGGCUUUUUGGCCUGUAACUGACACUGAGGCGCGAAAGCGUGGGGAGCAAACAGGAUUAGAUACCCGCGUAGUCCCUGUCUCUUAUAA
This 301-nucleotide ribosomal RNA is filed under the name uncultured bacterium. Its description in RNAcentral is "partial 16S ribosomal RNA". It matches the Rfam family "Bacterial small subunit ribosomal RNA", at positions 509 to 809 of the family's 1533-position model. The record is from RNAcentral.